Molecule: RNA transcript, 7796 nt
Organism: Oncorhynchus keta (chum salmon)
Lineage: Eukaryota; Metazoa; Chordata; Actinopteri; Salmoniformes; Salmonidae
Gene name: pituitary adenylate cyclase-activating polypeptide type I receptor-like
Exons: 14
Source: RefSeq, a predicted model, not a curated record
GGCGUUUGAGGAAGAGGCGCGCACCUUAUUCGCUCAGUCGAGUCCUGUCUCUUGUACAUGCAUGGUGAAGUCUUGCCAAGCCAUACCUGCGCUGCAGAAACCCGCCCAACUUCUGAAUAACGGCGACAAGAAAAGAUGACCUCCAGUCGUCCAGGCAAAUGCAAAAUAUGUGGUUAAUAGCUUAAUGUGGAAGAGCAUCAGACAAUACUAGUUACAAAAUAAUAAUUACGAUACUUAUUUAGGGUUAUGUCAAUGCAAUUUACUAUUAUUUGAACCAUUUGUUCCAGAAAGAAAAGGGUACAUUCUAAAGGACAAUGUUACUCACUAAAACGUCAUCGUUGAAAUGGAUACGCGCGUUAUUUGCUAUGUGGCUGCAUCUGACUGUGUGGGAAACGAUGGAGGCUAUCCAUCCAGACUGUGCCCUGGUCUCUCAUCACAUGAAGUCCCAGGAGAGCUGUAUCCACACACGCAGACAGGAAGGCCGGAACCGCUCUGCCAGGACAGGGUGUCGUACAGAGUGGGAUGAGAUCAGAUGCUGGUCACGGGCUGAGGUGGGCCAGAUUGUCAACGUCUCCUGCUCAGACGUCUCCCAGCUCUUCGCCAACAAAGGCUACAUCUUCAGGAACUGUACGAAGGCUGGCUGGACAGAGCUGUACCCUACAUAUGAGGAGGCCUGUGAGUUCGCAGAUGAGUCAGAGACAGGAUCAGAGACAACAUACUUCUACACCAUCAGUCAGGUGUACACCGCUGGAUAUGCCACCUCCCUCGUCUCCCUCAUAUCAGCCAUCUUUGUCUUCACUGUGUUCAGGAAGUUCCACUGUACCAGGAACUACAUCCACAUCAACCUAUUUUCCUCAUUCAUCCUGAGAGCCAGUGCCGUUUUCAUCAAGGACGGAGUUCUGUUCGCUGAUGAGAACCUGGACCACUGCUUCAUGUCCACAAUGGCGUGUAAGUCAGCGGUGGCCUUCUUCCAGUUUAGCAUCCUGGCUAACUACUUCUGGCUGCUGGUGGAGGGCAUGUACCUCCAGACCCUCCUGGCCCUCACCUUCGUCUCACACAAGAAGUACUUCUGGUGGUACACACUCAUCGGCUGGGGUCUCCCAACUACAAUACUGUUGGUGUGGGUUCUGACACGCAACUUCUAUGAUAACCGAGGUUGCUGGGACGACACUGAUGUGGCCUUCAUCUGGUGGAUCAUCAAAGGGCCAAUAACAGCAUCAUUACUGGUCAACUUCAUCAUCUUCAUCAAUGUGAUCCGUAUUCUGGUACAGAAGCUCAAAUCUCCUGGCGUGGGGGGCCACGACACUGGCCACUUCAUGAGGCUGGCUAAAUCCACUCUGUUCCUGAUCCCUCUGUUUGGGAUGCACUACAUGGUGUUUGCCUUCCUACCAGAGAACACAGGAGAGGAGGCCCGUAUCUUCAUAGAGCUGGGCCUGGGAUCCUUUCAGGGCUUUGUGGUGGCUCUGCUCUACUGUUUCCUAAAUGGAGAAGUGCAGGCAGAGCUGAAGAAGCAUCUAUGGAAGUGGCAGAUCCAGGGUUAUCUGCGCUACAGUAGGAGAAGACGUACCCUCUUCACAGAGAGCUCCACUGUCACACAGAUCUCUGUUCUGGAGAAGUCCUCCCCCAAGGAGUUGCCCUGCAUCAGCGACACACACACACUCACACACAUCGACAAACACACACUCACACACACUUCUGUCCCGAGCUGUACUGACACACAAACACUCACACACACUGACACACAAACACUCACACACAGCUCUGUCUCAAUCUGUGACGACACAAACACUCUCACACACAACACCGACUCACUCACACACAACUCAACAGUCUGAGAGAACAAAAAAUCCCGCUAUCUCUCUCUAUUCCCAAUCCUCCCUCUUCUUUUCUUCCUCCCCUCUCUCAAGGAUGGACUACACCUUGACUCUGCGGUGCCCAAAUCUCAGAUAGACCUCUCAGUCUAGAGAGAUCUAAAUGUUGUUCCAUAGACUGAGCUGUCUGUUGUGUUGACUCACUGGCUUGGCUGUGUGGCUCCAUAGACUGAGCUGUCUGUUGUGUUGACUCACUGGCUUGGCUGUGUGGCUCCAUAGGCUGUGUGGCUCCAUAGACUGAGCUGUCUGUUGUGUUGACUCACUGGCUUGGCUGUGUGGUUCCAUAGACUGAGCUGUCUGUUGUGUUGACUCACUGGCUUGGCUGUGUGGCUCCAUAGGCUGUGUGGCUCCAUAGACUGAGCUGUCUGUUGUGUUGACUCACUGGCUUGGCUGUGUGGCUCCAUAGACUGAGCUGUCUGUUGUGUUGACUCACUGGCUUGGCUGUGUGGUUCCAUAGACUGAGCUGUCUGUUGUGUUGACUCACUGGCUUGGCUGUGUGGCUCCAUAGACUGAGGAAGAGUAAUACAAAAAAAAGCUAAUUAUCGCAAUGGCCACAGAUUGACCAGAUUCCCAAAUGAAGCAAACUUUAUAGUGUCUACAAUAUACUGUAUCUUCCAUAGUACAAGUAAAUACACAGCCUUGUCUGUCAGGGCUUUCUAAAUGGACUGUGCUGUGUUUGGGUGGGUUGCUGCUAUUUUUGCCAGACAUGGACUUGCUGGCUGUGUGGUCUGGACACUAGACACUAGUGGACUCUAGUGGAUGCUAGUGGACUCCAGUGGACUGCGCUUGUGUCCAUAGUAGAAAUGGACUGGCCCCGGUGUGUUAGAAAUGCAGAGUAGUGAUAAAUUGAACAUAUUGAUUGAGAGGAAGAGGUUCAACUGACCUCUCUCCCCUCAUCAAUCUGAAGGAAGAGGUUCAACUGACCUCACUCCCCUAAUCAACCUGAAAGAAGAGGUUCAACUGAUCUCUCUCAUCAACCUGAAGGAAGAGGUUCAACUGACCUCUCUCCCCUAAUCAAUCUGAAGGAAGAGGUUCAACUGACCUCUCUCCCCUAAUCAACCUGAAAGAAGAGGUUCAACUGAUCUCUCUCAUCAACCUGAAGGAAGAGGUUCAACUGACCUCUCUCCCCUAAUCUACCUGAAGGAAGAGGUUCAACUGACCUCUCUCCCCUAAUCAACCUGAAGGAAGAGGUUCAACUGACCUCUCUCCCCUAAUCAACCUGAAAGAAGAGGUUCAACUGAUCUCUCUCAUCAACCUGAAGGAAGAGGUUCAACUGACCUCUAUCCCCUCAUCAACCUGAAGGAAGAGGUUCAACUGACCUCUAUCCCCUCAUCAACCUGAAGGAAGAGGUUCAACUGACCUCUAUCCCCUCAUCAUCCUGAAGGAAGAGGUUCAACUGACCUCUAUCCCCUCAUCAACCUGAAGGAAGAGGUUCAACUGACCUCUAUCCCCUCAUCAACCUGAAGGAAGAGGUUCAACUGACCUCUAUCCCCUCAUCAACCUGAAGGAAGAGGUUCAACUGACCUCUAUCCCCUCAUCAUCCUGAAGGAAGAGGUUCAACUGACCUCUAUCCCCUCAUCAUCCUGAAGGAAGAGGUUCAACUGAUCUCUCUCCCCUCAUCAACCUGAAGAGUACAGAGAAUAACAACCAUUUCUACCUUAUGGAUUGUAAAUGCAACAUGUUGCACAGUGCACAAGCAUGUAUGGAGCACUACACUGUAAAGAUGAUUAUUUAUGUAGACCUUGUUUUUUGUUGUUAUUAAUUUUCUUAAAGUCAGUUGAGCUGACAGCCGUUUUGUACUGUUUCGCUAUGGCUUUAGUCAUCCAUCUAGCAAGAGGGCAAUAUUUUAAUGGUGUAGUGUUGUUUCCCCCCAGAAAGCUAUGACCUUUGGCUUUCACCUGGAAUUGUUAUCUAUGUCUGAGGAAAAAAAAAACUUUUCAACCCAUAUGAUCUAGUACACAGUAAAGGUAUACUAAAACAAAUACAACAAUUAUAAAUGAUAAAAUAACAUACAGUUGGGAAUGAAUAAGCCUUUUCAUACUUUAUAAUAUGUCCAUAUAUAGUUAUAAUCUGUUUUCGGAACAUCUACCCAAAAUAUUUCACAUUCUUUAUUACUCUACCAAACAUACAGUUCCUUCAGAAAGUACUUUCUCCACAUGUUGCUACAUUACAGCCUAGUUCUAACAUGGAUGAAAUUAAACUAAAUCCUCAGCGAUCAAUACACAAUACCCUUUAAUGACAGAGCAAAACAGCUUUAGACAUUUAGCAAAUGUAUAAAAAUGUUUUAACAGAAAUACCUGAUUUACAUAGGUAUCCAGACCCUUUGCUAAGAGAUUUGAAAUUGAGCUCAGGUGCAUCCUGUUUCCAUUGACCAUCCUUGAGAUGUUUCUACAACUGGAUUUGAGUCCACCUGUGGUAAAUUCAAUUCAUUGGCAUGAUUCUGUAGCUCAGUUGGUAGAGCAUGGCGCUUGUAAUGCCAGGGUAGUGGGUUCGAUUCCCGGGACCACCCAUACGUAGAAUGUAUGCACACAUGACUGACUGUAAGUCGCUUUGGAUAAAAGCGUCUGCUAAAUGGCAUAUAUAUGUAUAUUUAUUUAUAUAUAUAUUUAUAUAUAUAUUUGGAAAGGCACACACCUAUCUAUAUAAGGUCCCACAGUUGACAGUGCAUGUCAGAGCAAAAACCAAGCCAUGAGGUCGAAGGAAUUGUCCGCAGAGCGCAGAGAUAGGAUUGUGUCAAGGCACAGAUAUGGGGAAGGGUGCCAAAAAAAGUCUGCAGCAUUGAUGGUCCCCAAGAACUCAGUGAAGUUUGGAAUUGCCAAGACUCUUCUUAGAGCAGGCCACCAGACCAAACUGAGAAGGUCCUUGGUCAGGGAGGUGACCAAGAACCACAUGGUCACUCUGACAGAGCUCUAGAGGUCCUCUGUGGAGAUGGGAGAACCUUCCAGAAGGACAACUAUGUCUGCAGCACUCCACCAUUCAGACCUUUAUGGUAGAGUGGCCAAACGGAAGCCACUCCUCAGUAAAAGGCACAUGACAGCCCACUUGGAGUUUUCCAAAAGGCACGUAAAGACUCAGACCAUGAGAAACAAAAUUCUCUGCUCUGAUGAAACCAAGAUUGAACACUGACCUGAAUGUCAAGCGUCACGUCUGGAGGAAACCUGGCACCAGCCCUAUGGUGAAGGAUGGUGAUGGCAGAAUUAUGCUGUGAGGAUGUUUUUCAGUGGCAGGGACUGGGAGACUAGUCAGGAUCAAGGCAAAGAUGAACGGAGCAAAGUACAGAGAGAUCCUUGAUGAAAAUCUGCUACAGCGCUCUCAGGACCUCAGACUAUGGAGAAAGUUGGCCAAACAUGACAACAACACUAAGCACACAGCCAAGACAAGGCAGGAGUGGCAUUGGAACAAGUCUCUGAAUGUCCUUGAGUGGCCCAGCUAGUGCCCGGACUUAAACCUUAUUGAACCUGUGCAGCAACGCUCCCCAUCCAACCGGACAUAUCAAGAGAGGAUCUGCAGAGAAGAAUGGGAGAAACUCCCCAAAUACAGGUGUGCCAAGCUUGUAGCGUCAUACCCAAGAAGACUUGCGGCUGUAAUCGCUGCCAAAGGUACUUCAAUAAAGUACUGAGAAAUGGUCUGAAUACUUAUAUAAAUGUAAUAUUUCAGUUUAUUUUUUAUAAAUUAGUAAAAACGUCUAGAAACCUGUUCAUGCUUUGUCAAUAUAGGGAGGGUAUUGUGUGUAGAUUUAUGAGGGAAAAAAAAUAUUGAAUCAAUUUUAGAGUAAGGCUCUAAUGUAACAAAAUAUGGAAAAAGUCAAGGGGUCUGAAUACUUUUCCGAAGGCACUGUAUCAUGACAUUAAUGAUAGUCAAAAUCUGUUACAUUUGUGAACGUCUCAAUCAACAUUUGGGCCAUUUAAACAGCAUGCUUCCCUCUUAUAGACAAGGGGAGAAGGGCUAUGUAAAGGCAUUGAUUAUGUCGCUCUGACCAUAUGCAAUGUGUCUGCCUCCAAAGUAAAACAAAUGUUUGACUUCCACACAAAAUUACUUCUUUACUUAUUUUAGGUUUAAGGAAGUGUGUAGAUUGCGUUCUUUAUCGUAGAGCUCUGUUGUAUUUAGAUCUGCCUGCUCGAGACAAAUUCAGCGAUUGCUUUGCCAUGUCUGUGCUGUGAAGCAGUCGAGCUGGAUAAAUGUUUUUCUAAGUACCGCCCCUUUGAUGUCACAUUGCAGUGAAGUGAUAUAAAUCGAUGUAAUGAUGAAACUGACCAGCAGAGGGAGGCAAAUACAAGUUUAUUCGACAGAGGAAGGUCUGCAUUGCUGUCUUCUGACAAAACAGUGGGAAGUCAAUAAAAUAAGUAAGGUAUACAUUUACAUAUUUUAAAAAGUAAUUCUAGUGCACCAUUUCAGGGACUGUCAGUUUAAGAGGUUUUAAUGUAGAAGUGUACAUAAACAUGAAUGAAUGAGAUUAUAGAUUGUUGAUAAGAGAUUAUAGAUGAUAGCGAUAUAGAGAUGUAUAGAUUAUAGAGAUAAUAGAAAUGAUAGAGAUGGUAGAUUAUAUAGAUUAGAUUAUAGAGAUGAUCGAUUAUAGAGAUUAUAGACAGUAUGUUUUCAUAUAUUAUAAUAGAAAUGAUAGAGAUGAUAGAUUAUCGAUAGUCUAGAUUGUUUUUUCUUUUGAAACUUUAUACUCCCGUUUUCUUGGACAUUGCAUUUAUUUAGAGAUUUUAUUAACACCAAAGUCAGCGUAUUUAUGUCAAAACUGUUUCAAAGUGUUCUAUAUUUCUGAGCAAUCUGUACAACAUAUACCCAUUACACAUCUUACUUAUUUAAUUUUGAACAUGUUAAUAUUUUGUAUCAUAUACACAUAUAUGUAGGUACUAUGUUUAUUUAGUUGUAUAAUAAAAUUAGUAAAUUAAUAAAAUAUAAUACAACUUGCAUUUCAAUAGAAUUAUAUAAUUUGUAUAUCAAUUUAUUGACAAAUUGCAAAAAUGUGUUGUUACAUACUUCUUGUACCAACAAUACUUUUUAGGGAAAGGACAUUUUCAAGAGGUUGCAACUGUACAUUAUGAGUAUGUUUUCAGAUAUUUGUAUUGUGUAGUUGGGAAAAUGGACAGGUUUUGGAUUAUCUUGUCUGUUUAUUUCUUGGUGUCAAUAGUUGCAUCUCUCCACAAGGGAGCACUGUAGAAUCAUAUUUUAUGGGGGCCAUUUUAGUACCUUUCCAGAAGAUAAACAAAUCAGACGUAAAUGGGUACUGUACAUGGUUGAAGUAUUCAGUGUAUAUAUACAUGAAACACUAUAUUAAAAAGCUAUUCAUGCUUUGGAGCUUGUGACCUCCUAUGUGAAUCUGUGAUUGUGGGAAAAGGAGGUUAUGGCUCAGACAAUGACCUUUGGUACCUUUACCAUGUACUACUGGUCUGUGUUGCUCAUAUAUGCAUCUGACAUGUAAGGCAAUCAUCCCGUGUAUUCAUAUCAUGAAUUAUAUCAAUUCUAAUAUGUCAUUUUUUUGUGGAAUAUGAUAAGCAUACUAUCCUAAGAUAUCCUGCACUUUGAUUAAAUUGAUAUAAAAAAAGCUGUAUACUCUAUUAUAACAUGGGCAGCAUAAUAUAAUAGUGUGCAUGCAUCUUUGUUGGGUUCAAAUUGUGACAAGAACAUGGAACUGAUCUGAACUGAACAAGACUUUUAUUGACUGUGAGACUAAGCUACUGAAAGGAUCAAUGGAUGCAGCACUUUGACUUGUAAACUGCUUUUGUGGUAUUGUGGAGUUGAGAUGGUGUAAUAUUCACAUCUGUGUGCGAAUUGUGUUCUCUCUCUUCUGAAGCUGUAAAAAACUGAAAGCUCUUUCCCCCCUAACAGGUUCCUGGCUACAACAUUACUGAACAUUUCUGAUGUGAUGCUGUUUAUUUAGAGGGCUAGCCUGGUGCCUGAUCUGUUUGUGCUGUU